GACAGAGGAUGCACGCGUUAUCCGGAAUGAUUGGGCGUAAAGCGUCCGCAGGUGGCUGUGUAAGUCUGCUGUUAAAGAGUGAGGCUCAACCUCAUAAAGGCAGUGGAAACUACAUGGCUAGAGUGCGUUCGGGGCAGAGGGAAUUCCUGGUGUAGCGGUGAAAUGCGUAGAGAUCAGGAAGAACACCGGUGGCGAAAGCGCUCUGCUAGGCCGCAACUGACACUGAGGGACGAAAGCUAGGGGAGCGAAUGGG
RNAcentral lists this ribosomal RNA (253 nucleotides) under uncultured bacterium. Its description in RNAcentral is "partial 16S ribosomal RNA". It matches the Rfam family "Bacterial small subunit ribosomal RNA", at positions 524 to 776 of the family's 1533-position model. The record is from RNAcentral.